This 21-nucleotide non-coding RNA is filed under the name Arabidopsis thaliana (thale cress). Lineage: Eukaryota; Viridiplantae; Streptophyta; Magnoliopsida; Brassicales; Brassicaceae. The record is from RNAcentral.
CCAUGUGUCAAGUCUAUCGAU